This 82-nucleotide transfer RNA is filed under the name Daphnia pulex (common water flea). It matches the Rfam family "tRNA". From Rfam's summary of the family: Transfer RNA (tRNA) molecules are approximately 80 nucleotides in length. Their secondary structure includes four short double-helical elements and three loops (D, anti-codon, and T loops). Lineage: Eukaryota; Metazoa; Arthropoda; Branchiopoda; Diplostraca; Daphniidae. The record is from Rfam by way of RNAcentral.
GGUAGUGUGGCCGAGUGGUCUAUGGCGGUGGUUUUAGGCACCAGUCUCUUCGGAGGCAAGGGUUCGAAUCCCUUCACUGUGA